This 253-nucleotide ribosomal RNA is filed under the name uncultured bacterium. RNAcentral's name for it is "partial 16S ribosomal RNA". It matches the Rfam family "Bacterial small subunit ribosomal RNA", at positions 524 to 776 of the family's 1533-position model. The record is from RNAcentral.
UACGGAGGGUGCGAGCGUUACCCGGAUUUACUGGGUGUAAAGGGCGCGUAGGCGGUUGUCUAAGUCCGAUGCUAAAGACCGAAGCUCAACUUCGGGAGUGCGUUGGAUACUGGAGAGCUAGACGGUCGGAGAGGGUAGCGGAAUGGUCAGAGUAGCGGUGAAAUGCGCAGAUACUGAUCGGAACGCCAAUAGCGAAAGCAGCUACCUGGACGACAAGUGACGCUGAGGCGCGAAAGCGUGGGGAGCAAACCGG